Molecule: long non-coding RNA, 2374 nt
Filed under: Gallus gallus (chicken)
Lineage: Eukaryota; Metazoa; Chordata; Aves; Galliformes; Phasianidae
Source: RNAcentral
CAAAGCCCACCCCUCCCUGGAUCACAUUUCCCAACGGCACAGAGCAAAUAUCAUCACCUAAAGCCAACGGGCUCACGGGGGAGCAGCCCUAACGCCCUGCCUUCAGGUGGUGCUGAGCAUCCCGUGGCCCCAGCUCCAUCCUUGGUGCACCCAUCCUCAAAGUGCCGUGGGUCGGUCUUACCCCGCACUGGGGCUAUUGGUUCCCAGCAGGGGCUGAGGGUGCAGCGUUGCCCCCAUCCAACGAAGCAGAAAGCGAAGCGAUAGCGAAGGGCCGGAUCCUGCUGCGGGAGGAGCGGCGCAGUCAGGCUGUCACUGCCACAUGUCACCCCCAUCCCCGUUCUCGUGGAACUUGUGCAGGUGGUCGGCGAACUUCUUGGCGCAGAACGCAGCGCAGUCCCUGCCCACGCUUUCGCUCCAGGCGGUUUUGUAGAGAACCAGGAAGACAAGGCAGUGCAAGAGCAGUGUGUAGAAAAACGCGACGGUGCGAGCAGUCUUGUUGGAUAGGAUGAGCCGCCCCAUGCUCAGCGUGGCUUUGUCCCAGGGACUCAGGCUCAGGUACUUGCGCUGGCGCUCCUUCCUGCUGAAGGAGGAGAAGGGGUCCAGGCGCUCUUCGUACUGCGAGGAGUAACGCAGCUCUGUGUCAUCCCUGCUGCUGCCCCGGCCGGGGUAGCUCUGCAGGAACUUGAUCUUCUCGUAGAGCUUGAUGUUGUCAGCCCGCAGGUUGUCCAGCUCGCUCUGCAGCGCGUGCACCGUGUGCUGCAUCAUGCGGUUCUCCCCCUCCAGCUCCUGGUUCCUGGCUCGGAAGCGUUCCCUCUGGCUGGAGAUGAUGGAAAGCAGUGAGUCCACCUGCCCCUCAGGGAACGGGGCGCUGGGGGAUGGUGGGUGACCAUAGAACAGCGCGGUGGCCUCCUUGAUGGGCUCCGGUAUCUUCUCCAGGCUGGGGAUGGCUGCGCCCUCUGCAUCUGGACGAUGCACGGCGGAGAGGGCCUGGAUGGUGCUGAGGUCGUGCUCCAGUUUGGCCACCAACUCCUUCUGCCCCGCCAGCCCCGACACGGCCUCCGUCAGCUGGAUCUGCAGCUCCGCACAGCGCACACUCAGGUCACUGUUUGUGAUUCGCAGCGUGGCGUUCUCGGACUGCAGCGAGCGGUUCUUCUCCAGCAGCAGCACCUCCAGCGGUUUCGAUGCAUCCUGCGCACCAGAGCUUUCAGGUGGUGCAAACUCCAUGGAUUUCAAUAUAUUUAAUUCUUUCUUAACCUCUUCAUAAUCAGCCUGUCCUUUCAGUUUUUCUUCCAGUUGUUUAAGCGUGCUGUUCUUGGCGGUCAGCUGCUGCUCCAGCUGGGAGAUCUGGCUGCUGGAGUUCUCCCGCAGCUUGGUGAGGCUGCCCUGUAGUCUCUGGACAUCUUCUACGAGCUGGGCAAUCUCCCUCUCCUUCGCAGCCAGUUCUACUUCCAGGCUGGAUCGUGUCAGCACCUCGAUGGCCUGCUCCACAUCAGGUGCCUUCUGGAUCUGGGUAGCGAGUUGGAGAGAUUUGUUAGCUGACGAGAGCUGCUCCCUUAAGGUCUCUGCCUCUCUCUGAGCCACCUCUGCCCUCUGAUUUGCUCUUUCAAGGUCUGUCAUGAUCAUCUCGAUUUCAUCAGCCUUUGCAGUAGUUUCUUCAUCGUAUUUUGUUUUCAGAUCAAAUAGUUCUGUUCUGGUUUUUUCCAAGGCUGUUUGCAAAGCUUGAACUUUGUGUUCGGCUUCCUCCAGCUUCGAGGCUGUUGACAUCUGUGUCUCCUGCAAUUUUCUCUCCUUCUCCGCAAAAUCAUUUUGUAGUUUUUGUUCUUUCUCCAGAGCUAUGUUCUCAGCUUGGUUCUUCAGGGUCUGUUCAUAUUCUCGGAUUUUCUCUUUAAGUGCUUUUAUUGUAACCUCCUGAUUUUUCACCUCGGCAAAUUCUUUGUUGUAUUCCUCUAGAGUUUCCCUAAGUUUCUGGUUCUCUGUUUCAAUAUCGUGCAUACGUUGAACCUUCAGCUGAAGCUGCUGUCCUAAAUCCAAAGCUGGAACUGGAUCUGGGACAUCAAUUAAUCUCUUAUAAACAUUCAAGAAGGCUGCCUCUGCUUCUUUGCUUCUUUUACCCAACGCGUCAAUCUCUCCCUGGAAACUCUUCAGUAGUGGAGCUACCUGUUUGCGCAGGUCCUCUGGAGUGUUCUUCUUGAACUCCCGACUUUGCUCGAUAAGUUUCUUCCUGGACUGCUCGCUUUCAUCUUGCCGGUUGGCCAAUAUUGUUGCUGUGGCAUCGAGUUCUCUCUGCAGCUGCUGUAAAUCAAAGCGCUUCCAAUAUUGAAACAUCGAUCCCACAUUGGCCGCCAUCUUGAGACAUAUUGAGACAGAGUGAGCG